GAUCCUGGCUUAGGAUGAACGCUGGCGGCAGGCUAAUACAUGCAAGUCGAACGGUAAGGUCCGAAGUGGCAACACGGAGGAUACACGAGUGGCGCACGGGUGCGUAACGCGUAUGCAACCUGCCCCCGACCGGGACAAAACAGCUGGAAACGGCUGCUAAUAUCCCAUGGUCAUGCGGAAGGGCAUCCUUCUUCAUGUAAAGAUUCAUUGGGUCGGGGAUGGGCAUGCGUAUUAUUAGGUAGUUGGCGGGGUAACGGCCCACCAAGCCGACGAUGAUUAGGGGUCCUGAGAGGGUUAACCCCCACACUGGAACUGAGACACGGUCCAGACUCCUACGGGAGGCAGCAGUAGGGAAUAUUGGGCAAUGGGAGCAAUCCUGACCCAGCCAUGCCCGCGUGAAGGAAGACGGCCCUAUGGGUUGUAAACUUCUUUUGCCGCAGAGUAAACCCGGUCACGAGUGGUCGGUUGAGAGUAUGCGGCGAAUAAGUAUCGGCUAACUCCGUGCCAGCCGCGGC
RNAcentral lists this ribosomal RNA (515 nucleotides) under uncultured bacterium. Its description in RNAcentral is "bacterial SSU rRNA". It matches the Rfam family "Bacterial small subunit ribosomal RNA", at positions 15 to 518 of the family's 1533-position model. The record is from RNAcentral.